This 729-nucleotide long non-coding RNA is filed under the name Ursus maritimus (polar bear). Its description in RNAcentral is "lncRNA (ENSUMAG00000015387.1)". The record is from RNAcentral. Lineage: Eukaryota; Metazoa; Chordata; Mammalia; Carnivora; Ursidae.
GGGAAAUUCCUUUACCUCCCCUUCUGUCGGAGCAGCCACUUGUCACUUCUGGAGCUGUUGCUGGUCCCUGAGAUGGCCCACAGAGCUCCCUCCAGGCAGAGUGGAGGACCUCGCUGUUCCUGGUGAUGCAACAGGGAAAUGUCAAACCCCGGGAUUGGAAGGAAACUCACUGCUGUUGUGAAGAAACUUGGUGAAACUCCAGCAACUUCGACCACUGGCCCGCUGCUGAGUCCUGGGACUUAAGGUCAAAUUCUAGAAAAGAACCGUGUGGGAUGUACAACCUGGCCUGGUCUCUCGGGUUCUCGGCUGCUGCUGGCAACAUUCUCUGGCAAAGGCUGCACUACUUGCUGUGACGUUUAUGACGGAAAGUUGCCAGAGAGCAAUCCAGUUAGCCACAGCCCCACUCCUCUCAGGUACAGCUCGGGAACUAAACCCCUGAACUAUGUGGGUCUAGACCAAGAAGACACCAGCAGGAGAGGCCUACAAUGAACCCUGACUGAGCGGGAUACAUCGGGGACACAGGGCCUCCCUUCCAGGUACCUGCAUUAGCGGCGAGGGGCAAUCAUCUGGAGUCUUGGCAAACUGAUCCAACCUGAAACGAACGCCUGUCGGGAGUCUCAGGUCCACCCCAGCUCAGAGGCGGCAGCAGGGAAGCCAGGACCCCGCCUCCAGUUCCCACCGAGCCGACCCACCCGGAGCGCUCCCGCAGGCGCCCAGAGGCCUGGCGGC